RNAcentral lists this non-coding RNA (92 nucleotides) under Bacillus sp. (in: firmicutes). Its description in RNAcentral is "Bacillus sp. c-di-GMP sequence". It matches the Rfam family "c-di-GMP-I riboswitch aptamer". From Rfam's summary of the family: GEMM was predicted in a large-scale screen for bacterial structured RNA regulatory elements. Genes associated with GEMM are involved in a diverse array of functions, including chemotaxis regulation, signal transduction, secretion and chitin. Lineage: Bacteria; Bacillati; Bacillota; Bacilli; Caryophanales; Bacillaceae. RNAcentral also lists the same sequence under 1 other name. The record is from RNAcentral.
ACGUCGAAAAAGCAAAGCUAGCGAAAACUAGUGACGCAAAACUAAAGGGACUAAAGCUCGUCUCAUGCUAGCUAAGUCAGCCAGUUACCAAA